Molecule: long non-coding RNA, 668 nt
Filed under: Capsicum annuum
Lineage: Eukaryota; Viridiplantae; Streptophyta; Magnoliopsida; Solanales; Solanaceae
Description: long non-coding RNA (CANN_LNC001462)
Source: RNAcentral
UCUUCCCAACUAUUUAAAUUCCAACAUAAUAAUUACAGUCGCAAUCUGGCAAUGACACCAGUUGCUGGUUUUCUCCCUUUCGGCAACGAUAACAAUUACAAUCGUCGAUUUUCUCCCUUCCGACGACGAUAACCCUAAAUCCUUUGCCGGUCUCAGGAUUCAUUUGACCGAAUUGAAGACGCACCCCGUGUCUGCACUUGCACAAGCGUCGCGUCGGGACGAGUUCGGCUGCGAAACCAAUGAAUCUGCGCAACAUACAAAUUAGUUAAUAAAAAGGUUAGCCAUGAUUACCUUAGAAGGCGCCCAACCCAACUCUGGAAACCAACAGAGGAGCUAAUCCUCAUAGACCUGGGACAUGACUAUUUCACAGUAAAAUUCCUCAAAGAGGAAAAUAUGCGUUUGGCCUUACAAAAAGGACCAUGGUUUAUCAAUGGCUUCUUCCUAUCUGUUAAGAAAUGACACCCUAACUUUGUAGCCUUUGAAGCAACGGAGUACUACCCCGUUGUUUGGGUUAGAUUACCCGAACUCGCCACUGAGUAUUACGAUCACUUGAAACUAUCAAAGAUAGGGGUAAGUUAGGGAAGUUGGUCAAUACAAAUAUCUAUACUUCCGCUACCUUGAGGAGAAGGUACGUAGAAUAUGUGUUGAAGUCCCCCUUAGAAUCCCAG